CACCAGGUCAGGACACGGUAAGGAUUGACGGACUGAAAGCUCUUUCUCGAUUCCGUGGAAAGUGGUGCAUGGCCGUUUUUGGUUGGUGGAUCGAUCCGUCUGGUUAAUUCCGUUAACGAACGAGACCUCGGCACUCCGAAUAGCGCGGCGGACGUCGCGGCCUCCGGGCCGUCUUCCGCACGAGCUUCUUAGAGGGACCGUCCCCCGCCGGGGAAGGAGGUGCGAGGCAACGACAGGUCUGUGAUGCCCUUAGAUGUUCUGGGCCGCACGCGCAUUACACUGACGCGUCCAACGGGUGACUCCCGACCCGAAGGGGCCGGGGAAUCCGCAAGGCGCGUCGUGAUGGGGAUUGAACGUUGCAAUUGUUGUUCACGAACGAGGAAUUCCUAGUAGGCGCGGGUCAUCAACCCGCGCCGAUUACGUCCCUGCCCUUUGUACACACC
RNAcentral lists this ribosomal RNA (443 nucleotides) under uncultured eukaryote. RNAcentral's name for it is "bacterial SSU rRNA". It matches the Rfam family "Eukaryotic small subunit ribosomal RNA", at positions 1216 to 1670 of the family's 1831-position model. The record is from RNAcentral.